AUGCCGCCGCCACUCUCCUUCCUCCACCCACCGCCCAACCCGCCAGUCCUCCACCCCUCCCCCUUCCACCACCGAGCCCCCCACCGCCUCUCCCUCCGCGCCGAUCCCCCACUCCGAGCGGCGGCGGCGACGGCGGCAGCGGCCGAGAACCCGUACUCGGCGGCGCCCACUGCGGCGGACGUCGAGAUGUUCCGCGGCGGGGACGGCGUGUGGACGGCGCGGAGCCCGACGGUGGUGGUGCUGUGGGACCUCGACAACAAGCCCCCGCGCGGGCCGCCCUUCGAGGCGGCCACCUCCCUCCGCGAGGCGGCGUCCCUCCUCGGCCGCGUCGACUCCGUCUCCGCCUUCGCCAACCGCCACGCCUUCACCCACCUCCCCGCCUGGGUCUCCGCCGACCGCCGCGAGCGCCGCGCCCUCGACCGCGCCGAGCGCACGGGCGCCGCCGCCCCGCCCGUCCCCUACUCCUGCGCCGUCUGCGGCCGCCGCUUCCCCACCCGCCCCGACCUCGCCCGCCACUUCCGCCAGCUCCACGAGCGCGAGCGCAACAAGAAGCUCGGCCGCCUCCGCUCCCUCAAGGGCAAGAAGCGCCAGAAGUUCCGCGAGCGCUACAUCUCCAACAACACCAAGUACCAGGACGCCGCGCGGGAGCUCCUCACCCCCAAGGUCGGCUACGGGCUCGAUUCCGAGCUCCGGCGCGCCGGCGUCCAUGUCCGCACCGUCCCUGACAAGCCGCAGGCUGCCGACCAGGCGCUCAAACGCCAGGUGAAGCACGCCAUCGCCUGCGGCGUCGACUGGGUCGUGCUCGUCUCCGAUGACUCCGACUUCACCGACACGGUGCGUAAUGCACGCGCUGCCGCCCUGAGGAUGGUCGUGGUUGGGGACGGGUGCCGCGCUCUCGGGAAGGUUGCUGAUAUCUGGCUGCCUUGGGACAGCGUGCAAAACGGGGAGGUUGAUGAGGAGAUGAUGCGGAGUGGGAAGGUUCCAGAGUUUAGAUACGAAGAGCACGAUGAGCAAUAUGAUGAUGAUGAGUUUAUAGUGGAUUGGGAUACGAAUGAAUUGGAUGAUGUUGUUGAUGACAUUGUUACAAGCAGGACCAAAGUUUUUGGUUCUACAACAAUGUCUGCAUUUGCCGAAGAGGACAUUGUUGAUGGUAUUUUGGGGCUUAGACAUAAGGAGGAUGACAUGCUUUGGAGUAGCGACGACGAGGAUGAGGACGGUUAUUUGUGA
This 1227-nucleotide ribosomal RNA is filed under the name Triticum aestivum (bread wheat). RNAcentral describes it as "partial small subunit ribosomal RNA". Lineage: Eukaryota; Viridiplantae; Streptophyta; Magnoliopsida; Poales; Poaceae. The record is from RNAcentral.